GAGGUCCAUUUUUCUUCUUUCAAUAAGAUGGUUUCUUGAUACAGAAAAGAUUAGCAUGGCCCCUGCCCAAGAGUGACAUGCACAUUUGUGGAGUGUUAUGUAUUUUU
This is a small nuclear RNA of Cebus imitator (Panamanian white-faced capuchin), 107 nucleotides long. Lineage: Eukaryota; Metazoa; Chordata; Mammalia; Primates; Cebidae. The record is from RefSeq and is a predicted model, not a curated record.